This 478-nucleotide ribosomal RNA is filed under the name uncultured bacterium. RNAcentral describes it as "partial 16S ribosomal RNA". It matches the Rfam family "Bacterial small subunit ribosomal RNA", at positions 29 to 507 of the family's 1533-position model. The record is from RNAcentral.
AUGAACGCUGGCGGCGUGCUUAACACAUGCAAGUCGAGCGAGAAGUUUUGAAAAGAUUCUUCGGAUGAAAUUUAAAAUGGAAAGCGGCGGACGGGUGAGUAACGCGUAGGCAACCUGCCCCAUACAAAGGGAUAGCAUUUGGAAACGAAUAUUAAUACCUUAUGAAACUUAACUAGUGCAUGCUAGGUAGGUCAAAGAUUUAUCGGUAUGGGAUGGGCCUGCGUCUGAUUAGCUAGUUGGUGAGGUAACGGCUCACCAAGGCGACGAUCAGUAGCCGACCUGGGAGGGUGAACGGCCACAUUGGAACUGAGACACGGUCCAAACUCCUACGGGAGGCAGCAGUGGGGAAUAUUGCACAAUGGGGGAAACCCUGAUGCAGCAACGCCGCGUGAACGAUGAAGGCCUUUGGGUCGUAAAGUUCUGUUCUAGGUGAUGAAAACUGACAGUAACCUAGGAGAAAGCCCCGGCUAACUCCGUG